GACGAACGCUGGCGGCGUGCUUAACACAUGCAAGUCGAACGGAAAGGCCCUGCUUUUGUGGGGUGCUCGAGUGGCGAACGGGUGUGUAACACGUGAGUAACCUGCCCUUGACUUUGGGAUAACUUCAGGAAACUGGGGCUAAUACCGGAUAGGAGCUCCUGCUGCAUGGUGGGGGUUGGAAAGCUUCGGCGGUUGGGGAUGGACUCGCGGCUUAUCAGCUUGUUGGUGGGGUAGUGGCUUACCAAGGCUUUGACGGAUAGCCGGCCUGAGAGGGUGACCGGCCACAUUGGGACUGAGGUACGGCCCAGACUCCUACGGGAGGCAGCAGUGGGGAAUAUUGCACAAUGGGCGGAAGCCUGAUGCAGCAACGCCGCGUGCGUGAUGACGGCCUUCGGGUUGUAAACCGCUUUCGCCUGUGACGAAGCGUGAGUGACGGUAAUGGGUAAAGAAGCACCGGCUAACUACGUG
This 468-nucleotide ribosomal RNA is filed under the name uncultured bacterium. RNAcentral describes it as "partial 16S ribosomal RNA". It matches the Rfam family "Bacterial small subunit ribosomal RNA", at positions 28 to 507 of the family's 1533-position model. The record is from RNAcentral.